ACCGGAUCUAGCCUGACGGGGCGAAAAGCGGCAAACCUUACCGCCUGAUCUGGUCAUCUUUUUAAGG
Molecule: non-coding RNA, 67 nt
Filed under: Erwinia pyrifoliae Ep1/96
Lineage: Bacteria; Pseudomonadati; Pseudomonadota; Gammaproteobacteria; Enterobacterales; Erwiniaceae
Description: int-alpA RNA
Rfam family: int-alpA RNA
About the family: Acidobacteria (1 example), Planctomycetes (1 example), Proteobacteria.
Source: Rfam by way of RNAcentral